RNAcentral lists this ribosomal RNA (446 nucleotides) under uncultured bacterium. RNAcentral describes it as "SSU rRNA". It matches the Rfam family "Bacterial small subunit ribosomal RNA", at positions 26 to 518 of the family's 1533-position model. The record is from RNAcentral.
AGAGCGAACGCUGGCGGCAGGCCUAACACAUGCAAGUCGAGCGCCCGUAGCAAUACGGGAGCGGCAGACGGGAGAGUAACACGUGGGAACGUACCCUUCAGUUCGGAAUAACCCAGGGAAACUUGGACUAAUACCGAAUACGUCCGUAAGGAGAAAGAUUUAUCGCUGAAGGAUCGGCCCGCGUCUGAUUAGCUUGUUGGUGAGGUAACGGCUCACCAAGGCGACGAUCAGUAGCUGGUCUGAGAGGAUGAUCAGCCUCACUGGGACUGAGACACGGCCCAGACUCCUACGGGAGGCAGCAGUGGGAAUAUUGGACAAUGGGCGCAAGCCUGAUCCAGCCAUGCCGCGUGGAUGAUGAAGGCCCUAGGGUUGUAAAGUCCUUUCGACGGGGAAGAUAAUGACGGUACCCGUAGAAGAAGCCCGGCUAACUUCGCGCCAGCAGCCGC